Molecule: ribosomal RNA, 744 nt
Filed under: soil bacterium Vanc-S1G-M1LLLSSL-3
Lineage: Bacteria
Description: bacterial SSU rRNA
Rfam family: Bacterial small subunit ribosomal RNA
Source: RNAcentral
AGUAACGCGUGGGGGGAUGUGCCUUGAGGUGGGGAAUAACUGGUGGGAAACUACAGCUAAUACCGCAUAAGCCCGAAAGGGGAAAGAUUUAUCGCCUUUAGAGCAACCCGCGUCAGAUUAGCUAGUUGGUAGGGUAAUGGCCUACCAAGGCGACGAUCUGUAGCUGGUCUGAGAGGAUGACCAGCCACACUGGGACUGAGACACGGCCCAGACUCCUACGGGAGGCAGCAGUGGGGAAUAUUGGACAAUGGGCGCAAGCCUGAUCCAGCCAUGCCGCGUGAGUGAUGACGGCCUUAGGGUUGUAAAGCUCUUUUAACAGGGACGAUAAUGACGGUACCUGUAGAAUAAGCCCCGGCAAACUUCGUGCCAGCAGCCGCGGUAAUACGAAGGGGGCUAGCGUUGUUCGGAAUUACUGGGCGUAAAGCGCACGUAGGCGGAUUGUUAAGUCGGGGGUGAAAUCCUGAGGCUCAACCUCAGAACUGCCUUCGAUACUGGCGAUCUUGAGUUCGGAAGAGGUUGGUGGAACAGCUAGUGUAGAGGUGAAAUUCGUAGAUAUUAGCUAGAACACCAGUGGCGAAGGCGGCCAACUGGUCCGAUACUGACGCUGAGGUGCGAAAGCGUGNGGAGCAAACAGGAUUAGAUACCCUGGUAGUCCACGCCGUANACGAUGAAUGCCAGCCGUCGGGGAGCUUGCUCUUCGGUGGCGCAGCUAACGCUUUAAGCAUUCCGCCUGGGGAGUACGGU